ACUUUAAAAUUUUAUUUAUCUGUACUGUUAAAAAUUUGUGUGGCUGAAGAAAUAAUCAUAUAACUACACAUGGCAUGUUAUGUGUGCCUCGUACUGAUGUACAAUAAUAAAAUUUUAACGGUAGAAAUAAAUUAUAUUUUUAACA
Non-coding RNA from Gossypium raimondii (Peruvian cotton), 145 nucleotides. The record is from Rfam. Lineage: Eukaryota; Viridiplantae; Streptophyta; Magnoliopsida; Malvales; Malvaceae.